AGGUAUACUAAAAUUAAGGUAUUUCCUCAUCAUAAACCCUUAUAAAAUGGCGGUCUUAAUUAUUUAGAGAAACUCGCUUUAUAAUCGUAAUUACUCGAUAAAUUUAACUUUUAUUUAAUAAUUUAUAUACCGCCGUCACGAAUCAACAAUUUAAACAAUUCAAACACUUACAUUAAAGACAAAUCAGGUCAAGGUGUAAUUUAUAAUAAAGUAAAAGUAAGUUACACUAAAAAUAAUUUAAGAAAAAAAGUACAAAUACAAAAUAGAAAAAGAAUUUAUUUGUACAAAUUAAUUAAAAACUAAAAUAGAAACAAAAAACAAAGAUGC
RNAcentral lists this ribosomal RNA (327 nucleotides) under Pholcus bario. Its description in RNAcentral is "partial 12S ribosomal RNA". Lineage: Eukaryota; Metazoa; Arthropoda; Arachnida; Araneae; Pholcidae. The record is from RNAcentral.